This 29-nucleotide non-coding RNA is filed under the name Homo sapiens (human). Lineage: Eukaryota; Metazoa; Chordata; Mammalia; Primates; Hominidae. The record is from RNAcentral.
GAGGAUGUCUGGGAAUUUGAUGCGUUGCU